AGGCACUGCCUGCCCAGUGACGUAAGUUAAACGGCCGCGGUAUCCUGACCGUGCAAAGGUAGCAUAAUCAUUUGUUCCUUAAUUAGGGACUUGUAUGAACGGCCACACGAGGGUUUAACUGUCUCUUACUCUUGAUCAGUGAAAUUGACCUCCCCGUGAAGAGGCGGGGAUACACAAAUAAGACGAGAAGACCCUAUGGAGCUUUAAUUAACUAACUCACAUAUAAUUAAACCUAAUCCAAACGGAAAUAAAAAACAUAUUCUGAGUUAGCAAUUUUGGUUGGGGUGACCUCGGAGAAUAAAGCAUCCUCCGAAAAUAAUAAGCCAAGACAUAACAAGUCAAAGCAAUCUUAAGCCAUAAUUGAUCCAAUAAGUUGAUCAAUGGAACCAGUUACCCUAGGGAUAACAGCGCAAUCCUAUUUUAGAGUCCAUAUCGACAAUAGGGUUUACGACCUCGAUGUUGGAUCAGGACAUCCCAAUGGUGCAACCGCUAUUAAUGGUUCGUUUGUUCAACGAUUAAAGUCCUACGUGA
RNAcentral lists this ribosomal RNA (531 nucleotides) under Tupaia tana (large tree shrew). RNAcentral's name for it is "partial 16S large subunit ribosomal RNA". It matches the Rfam family "Bacterial large subunit ribosomal RNA", at positions 1850 to 2603 of the family's 2925-position model. The record is from RNAcentral. Lineage: Eukaryota; Metazoa; Chordata; Mammalia; Scandentia; Tupaiidae.